AAUAAAUACAGUUUUACAAUAUUUAUGUCUAACGUUUGACCGUUCGUUUUAUUUAAAAAAUUUUCAUGAUUAGUAAUUUUAUUAUUAUUUAAUGAUAAAACAUGAAUAAUACUUUAUGCGUGACUAUUUUUUUCACAAAUUUUUAAAAUAAAACGGAUGGUCAAACGUUAGAUACGGAUAUCCAUAGCUGCGCUUAUU
This is a non-coding RNA of Oryza glaberrima (African rice), 198 nucleotides long. The record is from Rfam. NCBI's taxonomy places the organism in Eukaryota, Viridiplantae, Streptophyta, Magnoliopsida, Poales, Poaceae.